UACGUAGGGCGCAAGCGUUGUCCGGAAUUAUUGGGCGUAAAGAGCUCGUAGGUGGCUUGUCACGUCGGGUGUGAAAGCCCGGGGCUUAACCCCGGGUCGGCAGUGGAUACGGGCAGGCUAGAGGUAGGUAGGGGAGAAUGGAAUUCCCGGUGUAGCGGUGAAAUGCGCAGAUAUCGGGAGGAACACCGGUGGCGAAGGCGGUUCUCUGGGCCUUACCUGACGCUGAGGAGCGAAAGCGUGGGGAGCGAACAGG
Molecule: ribosomal RNA, 253 nt
Filed under: uncultured bacterium
Lineage: Bacteria
Description: partial 16S ribosomal RNA
Rfam family: Bacterial small subunit ribosomal RNA
Source: RNAcentral